UACGUAGGGUGCGAGCGUUAAUCGGAAUUACUGGGCGUAAAGUGUGCGCAGGCGGUUCGCUAAGACCGAUGUGAAAUCCCCGGGCUUAACCUGGGAACUGCAUUGGUGACUGGCGGGCUAGAGUAUGGCAGAGGGGGGUAGAAUUCCACGUGUAGCAGUGAAAUGCGUAGAGAUGUGGAGGAAUACCGAUGGCGAAGGCAGCCCCCUGGGCCAAUACUGACGCUCAUGCACGAAAGCGUGGGGAGCAAACAGG
This 253-nucleotide ribosomal RNA is filed under the name uncultured bacterium. RNAcentral describes it as "partial 16S ribosomal RNA". It matches the Rfam family "Bacterial small subunit ribosomal RNA", at positions 524 to 776 of the family's 1533-position model. The record is from RNAcentral.